CCUACGGGAGGCAGCAGUGGGGAAUAUUGGACAAUGGGCGAAAGCCUGAUCCAGCAAUGCCGCGUGAGUGAUGAAGGCCUUAGGGUUGUAAAGCUCUUUUACCAGGGAUGAUAAUGACAGUACCUGAGAAUAGCCCA
RNAcentral lists this ribosomal RNA (137 nucleotides) under uncultured freshwater bacterium. Its description in RNAcentral is "partial 16S ribosomal RNA". It matches the Rfam family "Bacterial small subunit ribosomal RNA", at positions 338 to 494 of the family's 1533-position model. The record is from RNAcentral.